UACGAAGGGGGCUAGCGUUGCUCGGAAUUACUGGGCGUAAAGCGCACGUAGGCGGCUUUCUAAGUCGGGGGCGAAAUCCUGGAGCUCAACUCCAGAACUGCCUUCGAUACUGGAGAGCUUGAGUCCGGGAGAGGUGAGUGGAACUGCGAGUGUAGAGGUGAAAUUCGUAGAUAUUCGCAAGAACACCAGUGGCGAAGGCGGCUCACUGGCCCGGUACUGACGCUGAGGUGCGAAAGCGUGGGGAGCAAACAGG
This 253-nucleotide ribosomal RNA is filed under the name uncultured bacterium. RNAcentral's name for it is "partial 16S ribosomal RNA". It matches the Rfam family "Bacterial small subunit ribosomal RNA", at positions 524 to 776 of the family's 1533-position model. The record is from RNAcentral.